This 245-nucleotide ribosomal RNA is filed under the name uncultured Bacillota bacterium. RNAcentral describes it as "uncultured Firmicutes bacterium partial 16S ribosomal RNA". It matches the Rfam family "Bacterial small subunit ribosomal RNA", at positions 524 to 768 of the family's 1533-position model. The record is from RNAcentral. Lineage: Bacteria; Bacillati; Bacillota.
GACGUAAGGGGCCAGCGUUGUCCGGAAUUACUGGGCGUAAAGCGCACGUAGGCGGCUUGAUCAGCGGCGGGUGAAAGCCCACGGCUCAACUGUGGAAAUGCUUGCCGAACUGUCAGGCUAGAGUGCGGGAGAGGGCAGUGGAAUUCCUGGUGUAGCGGUGAAAUGCGUCAAUAUCAGGAAGAACACCAGUGGCGAAGGCUGCUGCCUGGAACGCAACUGACGCUGAGGUGCGAAAGCUAGGGUAG